UGGGGAAUUCCUCUGCUUCAUGGCUGGCUACUUGGGUUGUAAUUUAAAUUGUUUUACUGAUUUCAUUUCUAACACUAUCCCCAAUUAUCUUAAAGGUUUACUUUACCUUGACAAGUGUGGUACUCCUUACAACAUCUAAUUUUGCUGUUGCUGUGGUGGUUUUCUGCCAUUUUUUGGCUAAGCAUUGGUUUUCUUGUCUGUGUUCUUGCUUAAUUUUUCUCUGGGUUCCUCUCAGGCUUUUGUUUUUUAUUAUCCCGAUUGUGUUUGGCUGCUCUUUCUGUCUGUCUUACUCUGUUAUUUCAAGUGCUUUGAUUUGUUCCGCUAAUAUUUUGUGGGCUUUUCAUUGUUUGCCUGGAGUUCUGGGUUUUUGGACUGGAGCUGUGAUGCUGCUGCCGUGUACGCUGAACCAGUCCUCUAGUUGCUCUCCUAACUGGGAUUAGCUAUGGGGCUGGGGGUCUGUCGGAUGCCUAUCUGGUUGGCUGCUGGGUGAGUUGUUUAGUUUUUAGUUGGUGUUAUGUUGGAUGCUGGAGGUGUAUUAUUAUAAGUAUUGGCUGGGUGAUUGGAUUUGUUAUGGUAAUUUUGUUUAUCUUCUGGAUUGAUGUUUGGGUUGGGGGAAUAAUUGUGUUUGGUUGGGCUUUUGUUAUUAUGUGACCAUGACUAUUUCCUUUUAUGAUUAUUCCUGGUUAUUCUGGAGGCGUGUACAUCGUAUUUCUGGGCGGAAUCCCUUGUGUAGGAUUGAGCGGCUUUUGGAUUGGGAUGAUGAAGCUGUUUUUUCAGAGAAUGUCCUGAGCUCUAAUAAUCUGAUCAUUAGGACUUGCAGUAUUAGGUCAGCUCGAUUCGGAUGAUUACCCAAGGUGUUGUUUACUCGCUAAAGAUUUUCACUGACUGUUGGGACUGCUAUUAUCUCAUUUAUUUUUCUCUAGAGUAUAAUCUAGUGUAUGUAAGCUUAUGUGUUAAGAAGACUGGUCUGAAAGUGUUAUCAUUCUCUUCCUCCUUUUUGGAUACUGUCACCUUGUAGCCCUUCUUUUUUACUUUAUUUUUCCUGUUGUUUUAGAUUUUGGGAACUCUGGUUCUUAGGUUCUUUUUUGGCUUUUUUGGGUGCUCAUUAAGGAUUUUUGUAAUCUUCUUUUUUGGAUUAACUCGUAGCCCCUUUGGGGUUUUUUUUUUU
Molecule: long non-coding RNA, 1168 nt
Organism: Dendrobium catenatum
Lineage: Eukaryota; Viridiplantae; Streptophyta; Magnoliopsida; Asparagales; Orchidaceae
Exons: 2
Source: RefSeq, a predicted model, not a curated record